Molecule: long non-coding RNA, 623 nt
Filed under: Monodelphis domestica (gray short-tailed opossum)
Lineage: Eukaryota; Metazoa; Chordata; Mammalia; Didelphimorphia; Didelphidae
Description: lncRNA (ENSMODG00000045402.1)
Source: RNAcentral
CGGGCUGAAGACUCGGGAAGCUGCCUCUUCCUCCUCCUCCUGUCAGGUGAAAUUAAAAAGAGAGAGGACGUUCUUUUGGGGAGUAAUCUCUCGCCUGCUCCUAGCAGCCCCGUAAACUGAUAAAUUGCAGAUUAAGUGACUGCCACACUCCACUUCAGUUCCCCCGCUGUUAAUUUCACACGUUGUGCAAUUCGCCGCUUUCAGGGCCUGUCAAUUCCACCUAAUGGCAGGAGGCCUAAAACGCUUUGCCCUGACAGUCCCAGAUCAAGAAACUCCAACUCCUAACUCGGCUGGAUUGCAUACAUCACUUCUGCACAAAUUACCAAUAUGCCAGCGAGGAGGAAUUAUGUCAGAUGACAGCGGAGACAUGAGGAUUUCAUCUAAGCCUGACGUGUUUUUGGUGUGAUUAUCUACGAGGAAAGAGAGACUCCGGGAUGGUGGAGGCCAUGCUGAACAGGAUGGGACAGUGAGUAGUGGUGUGGAGGGGCAGAAUUGGUGUAAGAGCUCUUGGGCUCUCAGAUACAAAAUACAAGUGCUUCCAGACAUUCUUUGGGAGAGAAAGAAAGACUUGAGAAGCUGCAGACAUGUAGAAGUUGGGUCCUCAGCAUGUCCCUGAUUUACAG